AUUGAACGCUGGCGGCAUGCUUUACACAUGCAAGUCGAACGGUAACAGGUUAAGCUGACGAGUGGCGAACGGGUGAGUAAUGCAUCGGAACGUGCCCGGUCGUGGGGGAUAACGCAGCGAAAGCUGCGCUAAUACCGCAUACGAUCUGAGGAUGAAAGCGGGGGACCGUAAGGCCUCGCGCGAUCGGAGCGGCCGAUGUCAGAUUAGGUAGUUGGUGGGGUAAAGGCUCACCAAGCCGACGAUCUGUAGCUGGUCUGAGAGGACGACCAGCCACACGUGGACUGAGACACGGCCCAGACUCCUACGGGAGGCAGCAGUGGGGAAUUUUGGACAAUGGGCGCAAGCCUGAUCCAGCAAUGCCGCGUGCAGGAAGAAGGCCUUCGGGUUGUAAACUGCUUUUGUACGGAGCGAAAAGGCUCUCUCUAAUACAGGGGGCUCAUGACGGUACCGUAGGAAUAAGCACCGGCUAACUACGUGCCAGCCGCCGCAGUAA
Molecule: ribosomal RNA, 493 nt
Filed under: uncultured bacterium
Lineage: Bacteria
Description: partial 16S ribosomal RNA
Rfam family: Bacterial small subunit ribosomal RNA
Source: RNAcentral